Molecule: ribosomal RNA, 250 nt
Filed under: uncultured Chroococcidiopsis sp.
Lineage: Bacteria; Bacillati; Cyanobacteriota; Cyanophyceae; Chroococcidiopsidales; Chroococcidiopsidaceae
Description: partial 16S ribosomal RNA
Rfam family: Bacterial small subunit ribosomal RNA
Source: RNAcentral
CUAGCCGUAAACGAUGGAUACUAGGCAUCGUGAGUAUCGACCCUCACAGUGUCGUAGCUAACGCGUUAAGUAUCCCGCCUGGGGAGUACGCGCGCAAGCGUGAAACUCAAAGGAAUUGACGGGGGCCCGCACAAGCGGUGGAGUAUGUGGUUUAAUUCGAUGCAACGCGAAGAACCUUACCAGGACUUGACAUGUCGCGAAUCUCAGGGAAACUUGAGAGUGCCUUCGGGAGCGCGAACACAGGUGGUGC